This 2437-nucleotide long non-coding RNA is filed under the name Sus scrofa (pig). RNAcentral describes it as "lncRNA (ENSSSCG00060038058.1)". The record is from RNAcentral. Lineage: Eukaryota; Metazoa; Chordata; Mammalia; Artiodactyla; Suidae.
GACAAGAUACAAGUUCCUUUGUCAUUCAGCCCUCGCUUAGGACGUGGGUCAAUUUCUGCCUUGUGACAUGGUUCUCUCUGGAGGCGCCCCCCCCCCGCCCCAGUGGACUCAGAACCCCCCGCUCAGGGUCCCCUUCCCCCUUUCUGGUGCACAGCGCCAGGCAAUGCAGAUAAUGCACGCCCAAUGCAGGCUGGUUGGCCAGCCCUUGCUCUCUGUGCCCCGCACAUGAACGCAGCUUGUGUUCUCAGCAUCCAGGGAACGCGCGGCGAUUCCCUCUGCCCCAGCGGACGUUGGGGACUUACCACCAACCCAGGGCAGGGAUUCCUGCUGCUGGGAGCUGAACCUGCAGGCAAGACUGAGCAACAGCCACGACUCCCAUGGUAGAGCAGACGGCGGUGCCCUCCCUCAGUGUCCCCAUUAACUGAGCCACUGAAGCCAAGUUAGAAUUUCUUUCUCCUGAUGAUAAAACAUAUUUUCUUACCUGGAGACAAAGGCUCAGAGAAUAAGAAAACAGAAGCAACCCCACAUUUUCAUGACUCAGAAGGUCUGUAAUCAGCGUGAACACCGUAUUUGGCUUUAGUCUGGCACAAUUCAAUACUCCUCUACCUUCAAGGGAGAGGAAAAGCAUUGUCUGUACAGGACUGGGCUCUUUUAAAAAAAAAAAAAAGUCCCUGCAGGCCCCCGCCCAGCCAGGGUGGACACAAGGCUGCGUACUCAUGCCUGGGUUGGCUGGGAGCCUCAACCAAGGAUGGCAAACCGAGUCUAGACACCAAUCCUUUCAUUGUGAGGCCUUCCAAGCAACCACCCCCAAACUCCCUCCCACUCAGCAGGGCUUCGGAACACGCACACAGAAUCUAGGUUAAAAAAAAAAAACCAAAAACCAAAACCAAAACCAAAAUUUAAAUGAACAAAACUCAAGUCAGCUAAAAGCAAUUCUACUCUGAUCAUCCCACAGUCUCCCUGAGCUUCCUAAGAGCGCCCCAGACGGCGGAGAAUUAAAAAGAGGCAGCAGCAGCAGCGAAGAGGGAAUUGCUGUUCUCGACAAACCAACCGCGGAGCCUGGUGAAAUGAAGCAUCAGGAAAAGGGGAAGGCAAUCAUCCGGCUCCCUCUGCGAGAAAACGGGAAGCCAGAAGGCACCAGAAGGAGAGGCCAGCAGUCUGCAGUGGCCGGGAGGAGGCACCAGGAACAGGUGCCUGAGACUAAAACCCCGAUCUGCCAAUCGACCCUGCUGGCCCCAGGAGCCACCAGGCCCCCUGUACUCACUCUAAACCUGGGAUACAAGCGUGGUUACUGAAACUGAGCAAAACUCAAUGGGGACCCUUUCUAUAGAUGAGCCACCAUCUAUCGGACAGGUGGCCCAGGAGUCACGAGCCGGGCAGAGGGUGCAUCUGAAGCGCAAAAGGGAAACUGCAUGAAUGUGCCCUGAGCCGUGGAAAUCACUACGUAGGAACGAUGUGGUGGUUGAUGUUAAGGUCUAGUACUCCGGAUGCUGAAUCAGUAAUUCUUAAGAAGUUGGAAUUCCAUGUGGGCCUGGGAGAGCUGGACAGGAGAAAGCCUUGGUUUUGAUCUUGGUGCUUAGUUGUGGGUGAGGUCAAUCUCCACAAGACAGAGGGUGCAUUUACAGCACCCUCCAGCCGUGUGGGGAGCAGGCCAGGGGUGAAAAGGCUGCCCAGGCACCGCACCUCUGAGAUCUUCCUCCUCGAAAGCCAUCACUCCAUUCUAAUCAAUGAGAAACGCAGCGGACCAAUCCCAUCUGAGGGAUGGUCUACAAAACCCCUGGCCGGCACUCCUCCGAACCAUCCAAGUCAUCAAAAACUAGGAAAGUCUGAAAAACUGUCACGGCAAAGAAGAGCCUGAUGAGACAUUACAACUAAUAGCAGUAGAGGAUCCUAGAUGGGAUCUGGGACCAGACAAAGAUGUUAGGUAAAAACUAAGGGAAUCUGAAUGGACUUCAGUUGAUAAUAAUACACCAAUAUUGAUUCAUUCGUUGUAACAAAAGCAUCAGACGCAUGCAAGAUAUUAACAAAGGGAAAAAUGAGUGUGGGCUCAAUGGAAAGCCUGCACCAUUUCCACAACUUCUCUGCACAUCUAAAACUAUUUUAGGGAGUCUUGGCGCAGCAGAAACGAAUCCGACUAGGAACCAUGAGGUUUCAGGUUUGAUCCCUGGCCUAGCUCAGUGGGUUAAGGAUCCAGCGUUGCUGUGAGAUGCAGUGUAGGUCACAGACGCGGCUCGGAUCCCAAGUUGCUGCGGCUGUGGUAUAGGCCAGUGGCUGUAGCUCUAAUUAGAUCCCUAGCCUGGGAACCUCCAUUUGCCAUGGGUGCAGCCCUAAAAAGACAAAAUAAAUAAAUACACUAUUUUAAAGAGUUUUGGUUUUUUUUUUUUUUUUUUUUUUUGGAGGUCCCAUCGUGGCUUGGUGGAAACGAAUCUGACUAAUA